GAUGAAGAACGCAGCGAAAUGCGAUAAGUAGUGUGAAUUGCAGAAUUCAGUGAAUCAUCGAAUCUUUGAACGCACAUUGCGCCCCUUGGUAUCCCGAGGGGCAUGCCUGUUCGAGCGUCAUUUCACCAUUCAAGCCUGGCUUGGUGUUGGGCGACGUCCUCUUUGGGGACGCGCCUCGAAACGCUCGGCGGCGUGGCACCGGCUUUAAGCGUAGCAGAAUCUUUCGCUUUGGAAGUCGGGGCCCCGUCUGCCGGAAGACCUGCUCGCAAGGUUGACCUCGGAUCAGGCAGGGAUACCCGCUGAACUUAAGCAUAUCAAUAAGCGGAGGA
RNAcentral lists this unclassified non-coding RNA (329 nucleotides) under soil metagenome. RNAcentral describes it as "partial contains 5.8S ribosomal RNA, internal transcribed spacer 2, and large subunit ribosomal RNA". The stretch from base 1 to 120 matches the Rfam family "5.8S ribosomal RNA", at positions 35 to 154 of the family's 154-position model. The record is from RNAcentral.